UUGUGAAAGAACAUGCCAUUUUACAGAUAAGAAAACUGAAGCUUAAACAAGUUGGGUUAAAAUAUGUCGAGGAAUCCAGUAUGUAUUCAAACUGAAACAGAGAAGACCUCCAAGGAAAACUUGGAAGUUGGGUACUAAAGGAUGAAGUUCAGAAAGAUCUUGGAAACUAGGUAUCUCUCUGUAUUUCAAAGACAAGAUUUAAUCCUCUCCUGCCCUCAUCUCGAUUCUGAAUUCAAAACUAUGGAAAAGUAAUUAUACUUUCAUUUUCACUGAAAGAGUGAAAUUUUCAAUAUUAC
This 296-nucleotide long non-coding RNA is filed under the name Ictidomys tridecemlineatus (thirteen-lined ground squirrel). RNAcentral's name for it is "lncRNA (ENSSTOG00000029504.1)". The record is from RNAcentral. Lineage: Eukaryota; Metazoa; Chordata; Mammalia; Rodentia; Sciuridae.